RNAcentral lists this ribosomal RNA (371 nucleotides) under uncultured Pandoraea sp. Its description in RNAcentral is "bacterial SSU rRNA". It matches the Rfam family "Bacterial small subunit ribosomal RNA", at positions 30 to 399 of the family's 1533-position model. The record is from RNAcentral. Lineage: Bacteria; Pseudomonadati; Pseudomonadota; Betaproteobacteria; Burkholderiales; Burkholderiaceae.
AUUGAACGCUGGCGGCAUGCCUUACACGUGCAAGUCGAACGGCAGCACGGGUGCUUGCACCUGGUGGCGAGUGGCGAACGGGUGAGUAAUACAUCGGAAUGUACCUUGUAGUGGGGGAUAGUUCGGCGAAAGCCGGAUUAAUACCGCAUACGCUCUGAGGAGGAAAGCGGGGGACCUUCGGGCCUCGUGCUACAAGAGCAGCCGAUGUCAGAUUAGCUUGUUGGUGAGGUAAAAGCUCACCAAGGCGACGAUCUGUAGCUGGUCUGAGAGGACGGCCAGCCACACUGGGACUGAGACACGGCCCAGACUCCUACGGGAGGCAGCAGUGGGGAAUUUUGGACAAUGGGCGAAAGCCUGAUCCAGCAAUGCCG